Long non-coding RNA from Micropterus dolomieu (smallmouth bass), 631 nucleotides. RefSeq lists it as uncharacterized. NCBI's taxonomy places the organism in Eukaryota, Metazoa, Chordata, Actinopteri, Centrarchiformes, Centrarchidae. The transcript has 3 exons. The record is from RefSeq and is a predicted model, not a curated record.
UAGCUAGCCAACGUCCCUGAAAAUCACAGCAAGGGGGUCAAACAUCAUUCAGGCUACGGGAGAUAUCGUUAUAUCCCUCUGUCCUAACGUUACACAGCAGAGAGGGAAAAUAUCUUGGCGUUUACAACAAAGACGAACCGACUCACCAUAAACAAGACCACGCCUCUCUCUCUCCCUCACUAACCCAACCACCUGCGCAUCACUAAUUUCAUCCUCCUGGGCAUCUCUAAUCCAAUCUCCUGCACAUUCGUAUAUAAGCUCGUCUAACCCCUUUCUCGCCAAUUUGUCUCAGUUCUUACAACCCUCCCCCCUCCAAAUCCCGUUUCUCUCCUCUCUCGAUGGGCGGCAUGGUGGUCAAGUGGACAGCACUGAGGCCUCACUGCAAGAAGGAACCACAGGGGGAUCCUAAAGCAAGAUGCUUAUAGAUACGUGCCCCCACCCUAUGUCUCGACCUCCAGGUUCCUAGCCCCUCCGGCCACCAUAACCCAAAUCAACCACCUUCAUCCCACCCUACCUUCUCAACUCUUCAUCCCUCCCCCUUUCAAUCCCUUCAUCCUUCCCCAUUUGACCCCUCCAUCCUAUCCUUCCUGAACCUUCUCGCUAACCAAAUAAACUACCUCUUGUACAUUAA